RNAcentral lists this ribosomal RNA (492 nucleotides) under uncultured bacterium. RNAcentral's name for it is "partial 16S ribosomal RNA". It matches the Rfam family "Bacterial small subunit ribosomal RNA", at positions 29 to 507 of the family's 1533-position model. The record is from RNAcentral.
AGUGAACGCUGGCGGUAGGCCUAACACAUGCAAGUCGAACGGCAGCACAGUAAGAGCUUGCUCUUACGGGUGGCGAGUGGCGGACGGGUGAGGAAUACAUCGGAAUCUACUUUUUCGUGGGGGAUAACGUAGGGAAACUUACGCUAAUACCGCAUACGACCUACGGGUGAAAGCAGGGGAUCUUCGGACCUUGCGCGAUUGAAUGAGCCGAUGUCGGAUUAGCUAGUUGGCGGGGUAAAGGCCCACCAAGGCGACGAUCCGUAGCUGGUCUGAGAGGAUGAUGAGGCACAAUGGAACAGAGACACGGUCCAGACUCCUACGGGAGGCAGCAGUGGGGAAUAUUGGACAAUGGGCGCAAGCCUGAUCCAGCCAUACCGCGUGGGGGAAGAAGGCCUUCGGGUUGUAAAGCCCUUUUGUUGGGAAAGAAAAGCAGCAGGUUAAUACCCCGCUGUUCUGACGGUACCCAAAGAAUAAGCACCGGCUAACUUCGUG